RNAcentral lists this ribosomal RNA (443 nucleotides) under uncultured bacterium. Its description in RNAcentral is "partial 16S ribosomal RNA". It matches the Rfam family "Bacterial small subunit ribosomal RNA", at positions 338 to 795 of the family's 1533-position model. The record is from RNAcentral.
CCUACGGGGGGCAGCAGUGGGGGAUAUUGCACAAUGGGGGGAACCCUGAUGCAGCAACGCCGCGUGAAGGAAGAAGGCUUUCGGGUUGUAAACUUCUUUUCUCAGGGACGAAGCAAGUGACGGUACCUGAGGAAUAAGCCACGGCUAACUACGUGCCAGCAGCCGCGGGAAUACGUAGGUGGCAAGCGUUAUCCGGAUUUACUGGGUGUAAAGGGCGUGUAGGCGGGACUGCAAGUCAGAUGUGAAAACCACGGGCUCAACCUGUGGCGUGCAUUUGAACCUGUAGUUCUUGAGUACUGGAGAGGCAGACGGAAUUCGUAGUGUAGCGGUGAAAUGCGUAGAUAUUAGGAGGAACACCAGUGGCGAAGGCGGUCUGCUGGACAGCAACUGACGCUGAGGCGCGAAAGCGUGGGGAGCAAACAGGAUUAGAUACCCCUGUAGUC